RNAcentral lists this ribosomal RNA (425 nucleotides) under uncultured bacterium. Its description in RNAcentral is "partial 16S ribosomal RNA". It matches the Rfam family "Bacterial small subunit ribosomal RNA", at positions 354 to 796 of the family's 1533-position model. The record is from RNAcentral.
GUGGGGAAUCUUGCGCAAUGGGCGAAAGCCUGACGCAGCCAUGCCGCGUGAAUGAUGAAGGUCUUAGGAUUGUAAAAUUCUUUCACCGGGGACGAUAAUGACGGUACCCGGAGAAGAAGCCCCGGCUAACUUCGUGCCAGCAGCCGCGGUAAUACGAAGGGGGCUAGCGUUGCUCGGAAUUACUGGGCGUAAAGGGAGCGUAGGCGGAUAGUUUAGUCAGAGGUGAAAGCCCAGGGCUCAACCUUGGAAUUGCCUUUGAUACUGGCUGUCUUGAGUUUGGGAGAGGUGAGUGGAACUCCGAGUGUAGAGGUGAAAUUCGUAGAUAUUCGGAAGAACACCAGUGGCGAAGGCGACUCACUGGCCCAAUACUGACGCUGAGGCGCGAAAGCGUGGGGAGCAAACAGGAUUAGAAACCCCGGUAGUCC